GGGCGGGCCGGGGGCGGACCCGGCGCUGAGUCAGCGCCCAGGCGGCUCCUCCGGCCCCGAGCACGGAGCCGCCUUUGUUGUCGGGUUCCCUCAGGGCGAGGGGGAGACGAGGGGGAAAGCCCGAAAGAGUGAGGGGGUCAAAGGGGGUGGUCCCCCAAGCCGGCAGGAGGCUGCCCCUGGCCCCCCGCGCUGAGGGGGGGAGAGGGGACGGACCGCCGUGGGCAGCGGUCGCGGUGGUUUUGGGGCACAUGCUGAGGUGGUGAGGUCCCUCAGUGGCCUCCUUCACCUGCAGGAGUGACUCUGCUUCCCUCAGGAGUCUCCAACUGCUUUUUUUCACUUCCCCGUCUUCAUUUCUUCUCCCUCUCUCUUGUCCCAAACCCCUAAAACUCAACCUUGUCCCCUAUGGAUAUUCCCACUAAAUAAGAAUCAAGAACCCCAGUCUGUGCAUGAACCCAUGCAAACACAAUUCACUGGCAGAAGAAAGGCCAGGCAAUCACAGCAGUUAGUCCGAAAUGGUGAGACGUGCCUCAAAAUCUGUUUCAUUGCAAGUAAUAAACGAUGCAGGCAUGACAGAAUCUGGACCGUAACAUAGCGUGCGGAGGCUUUGGGAUUAUUCUGAGUUUCUUCGGAGCAGAUGACUCGCAUCACAGCAAAGUGACAGAAGCGUCUUGAAUCGCCCCAGGGAUGGAAAACUUCUGGGCCCAUCAGACUGGAGCUCGAGGAGCAUUCAGCAUAGUUUGGGCUCUGGAGACUCCUCCAAGACCCCCAGCCCCAAGAAGUCCUUGUAGGAAGGAUGUUGGUGCUCAGCAGGUGGUGCUAUUUCCACUGACUCUGUCCUAAAUAAUCCACUGCCCCAGCUUGUCCUGGGGAGUUAGUGGGUACGGAGAAAUACAUUUUCUGUGAGGGAAAGCUGAAAUCGUGAGUGCUGGUGUGUAUUAAAAGUCUGCUCAGGUCUUUGUGUGUGGCUGUUCUUUCACUAGGAAGAAAAAAAGGCAGCUGCAAAGUGCCUGUGUGAAACAUAGCAAAUGGAUGACAACCAGAGUGUGGGUGGCCACUAUCAGUUCUGGUUCAAUCUAAGUCUGCUGCCAAGUGCCAACGUAGGCAAUCAGAGCUAUGCUGUGGACAAAUUAGAUGUUACAAAAUCCACUACACUCCUCAAAAAGUCACUAGCAGCUCCACAAGUUGGGACACCCAUUGGUGGUGUCCACGUUCACCCUUUCAGCCCUGAUUAUGACUUGCCUCAUGCCCCAGGUGACUGAAGAUAGCUGUGAGAUACAUUUGUUCCUGUAUGUGGAGCCCAUCGAUACUACACAGAGAAAAACCUCAUAAAAAUUGAUUAUUUUUUAUUAAAUGCAGUAAAAUAAUGUGCCUAGAAGGGUGAGGGAGUAUAAAUAUUGAAUAGUUCCCUGUUCUGUGAACAACCCUCUGUUUGAAGCAAGCAGGGAAGGAAA
Anas platyrhynchos (mallard) is the source of this 1451-nucleotide long non-coding RNA. RefSeq lists it as uncharacterized. NCBI's taxonomy places the organism in Eukaryota, Metazoa, Chordata, Aves, Anseriformes, Anatidae. The record is from RefSeq and is a predicted model, not a curated record.